CAGUCGCCACGGUAAUACAGAGGGUUCGAGCGUUAAUCGGAUUUACUGGGCGUAAAGCGUGCGUAGGCGGCUUUUUAAGUCGGAUGUGAAAUCCCUGAGCUUAACUUAGGAAUUGCAUUCGAUACUGGGAAGCUAGAGUAUGGGAGAGGAUGGUAGAAUUCCAGGUGUAGCGGUGAAAUGCGUAGAGAUCUGGAGGAAUACCGAUGGCGAAGGCAGCCAUCUGGCCUAAUACUGACGCUGAGGUACGAAAGCAUGGGGAGCAAACAGGAUUAGAUACCCGUGUAGUCCCUGUCUCUUAUAC
RNAcentral lists this ribosomal RNA (301 nucleotides) under uncultured bacterium. RNAcentral describes it as "partial 16S ribosomal RNA". It matches the Rfam family "Bacterial small subunit ribosomal RNA", at positions 509 to 807 of the family's 1533-position model. The record is from RNAcentral.